GGGACACGUGGUAUCCUGUCUGAAUAUGGGGGGACCAUCCUCCAAGGCUAAAUACUCCUGACUGACCGAUAGUGAACCAGUACCGUGAGGGAAAGGCGAAAAGAACCCCGGCGAGGGGAGUGAAAAAGAACCUGAAACCGUGUACGUACAAGCAGUGGGAGCCUCUUAAUGGGGUGACUGCGUACCUUUUGUAUAAUGGGUCAGCGACUUAUAUUCUGUAGCAAGGUUAACCGAAUAGGGGAGCCGAAGGGAAACCGAGUCUUAACUGGGCGUUAAGUUGCAGGGUAUAGACCCGAAACCCGGUGAUCUAGCCAUGGGCAGGUUGAAGGUUGGGUAACACUAACUGGAGGACCGAACCGACUAAUGUUGAAAAAUUAGCGGAUGACUUGUGGCUGGGGGUGAAAGGCCAAUCAAACCGGGAGAUAGCUGGUUCUCCCCGAAAGCUAUUUAGGUAGCGCCUCGUGAAUUCAUCUCCGGGGGUAGAGCACUGUUUCGGCAAGGGGGUCAUCCCGACUUACCAACCCGAUGCAAACUGCGAAUACCGGAGAAUGUUAUCACGGGAGACACACGGCGGGUGCUAACGUCCGUCGUGAAGAGGGAAACAACCCAGACCGCCAGCUAAGGUCCCAAAGUCAUGGUUAAGUGGGAAACGAUGUGGGAAGGCCCAGACAGCCAGGAUGUUGGCUUAGAAGCAGCCAUCAUUUAAAGAAAGCGUAAUAGCUCACUGGUCGAGUCGGCCUGCGCGGAAGAUGUAACGGGGCUAAACCAUGCACCGAAGCUGCGGCAGCGACACUAUGUGUUGUUGGGUAGGGGAGCGUUCUGUAAGCCUGUGAAGGUGUACUGUGAGGUAUGCUGGAGGUAUCAGAAGUGCGAAUGCUGACAUAAGUAACGAUAAAGCGGGUGAAAAGCCCGCUCGCCGGAAGACCAAGGGUUCCUGUCCAACGUUAAUCGGGGCAGGGUGAGUCGACCCCUAAGGCGAGGCCGAAAGGCGUAGUCGAUGGGAAACAGGUUAAUAUUCCUGUACUUGGUGUUACUGCGAAGGGGGGACGGAGAAGGCUAUGUUGGCCGGGCGACGGUUGUCCCGGUUUAAGCGUGUAGGCUGGUUUUCCAGGCAAAUCCGGAAAAUCAAGGCUGAGGCGUGAUGACGAGGCACUACGGUGCUGAAGCGACAAAUGCCCUGCUUCCAGGAAAAGCCUCUAAGCAUCAGGUAACAUCAAAUCGUACCCCAAACCGACACAGGUGGUCAGGUAGAGAAUACCAAGGCGCUUGAGAGAACUCGGGUGAAGGAACUAGGCAAAAUGGUGCCGUAACUUCGGGAGAAGGCACGCUGAUAUGUAGGUGAAGCGACUUGCUCGUGGAGCUGAAAUCAGUCGAAGAUACCAGCUGGCUGCAACUGUUUAUUAAAAACACAGCACUGUGCAAACACGAAAGUGGACGUAUACGGUGUGACGCCUGCCCGGUGCCGGAAGGUUAAUUGAUGGGGUUAGCGGUAACGCGAAGCUCUUGAUCGAAGCCCCGGUAAACGGCGGCCGUAACUAUAACGGUCCUAAGGUAGCGAAAUUCCUUGUCGGGUAAGUUCCGACCUGCACGAAUGGCGUAAUGAUGGCCAGGCUGUCUCCACCCGAGACUCAGUGAAAUUGAACUCGCUGUGAAGAUGCAGUGUACCCGCGGCAAGACGGAAAGACCCCGUGAACCUUUACUAUAGCUUGACACUGAACAUUGAGCCUUGAUGUGUAGGAUAGGUGGGAGGCUUUGAAGUGUGGACGCCAGUCUGCAUGGAGCCGACCUUGAAAUACCACCCUUUAAUGUUUGAUGUUCUAACGUGGGCCCCUUACCGGGGUUGCGGACAGUGUCUGGUGGGUAGUUUGACUGGGGCGGUCUCCUCCUAAAGAGUAACGGAGGAGCACGAAGGUUGGCUAAUCCUGGUCGGACAUCAGGAGGUUAGUGCAAUGGCAUAAGCCAGCUUGACUGCGAGCGUGACGGCGCGAGCAGGUGCGAAAGCAGGUCAUAGUGAUCCGGUGGUUCUGAAUGGAAGGGCCAUCGCUCAACGGAUAAAAGGUACUCCGGGGAUAACAGGCUGAUACCGCCCAAGAGUUCAUAUCGACGGCGGUGUUUGGCACCUCGAUGUCGGCUCAUCACAUCCUGGGGCUGAAGUAGGUCCCAAGGGUAUGGCUGUUCGCCAUUUAAAGUGGUACGCGAGCUGGGUUUAGAACGUCGUGAGACAGUUCGGUCCCUAUCUGCCGUGGG
RNAcentral lists this ribosomal RNA (2247 nucleotides) under Escherichia coli. Its description in RNAcentral is "partial 23S ribosomal RNA". It matches the Rfam family "Bacterial large subunit ribosomal RNA", at positions 419 to 2651 of the family's 2925-position model. The record is from RNAcentral. Lineage: Bacteria; Pseudomonadati; Pseudomonadota; Gammaproteobacteria; Enterobacterales; Enterobacteriaceae.